Molecule: unclassified non-coding RNA, 1993 nt
Filed under: Pomacea canaliculata
Lineage: Eukaryota; Metazoa; Mollusca; Gastropoda; Architaenioglossa; Ampullariidae
Description: leucine-rich repeat-containing protein 69-like, transcript variant X1
Source: RNAcentral
AACAAUAUGGCCGACAAUUUACUGCUUCGGGCACUUCAGGGACAACCUAAGAGGCUAAAUCUUUGCAACAGGCAUUUAGACAAAUUACCCAAAUCGAUAAGAAGGAUAGAAUCCUUAUGUGAACUGAAUCUCAAAAAUAAUAAUCUGAAAAAACUUCCUGAUGAACUCACAUAUUUACUUCAAUUACAAAUGCUUCAUCUUGGAAACAAUGAAUUUGAGGAUUUCCCAUCCAUUUUGCAACAUAUUAACAGCUUACAGAAACUGCACAUGUUUGGCAACAAAAUUACAGAUAUUCAUCCAUCUUGCCUAAAUGGUUUCAGAGACUUAAGAUUCCUGAAUUUGAACAAUAACAAGUUAAAAACACUGCCUUCAGAAAUUGGCAAUCUACAAAACAUUGAAUUCCUUAGUCUGGACAAUAACGAAAUUCAAACACUCCCUGUAGAGAUUUGUGCACUUUCCACAUUGAAAGAGCUGCAUGCUGCUGGAAAUCAGAUGACCUCACUGCCUUUGGAGUUUGGUUAUUUAACACAACUGGAAAAACUGUUUAUUCAGAAGAAUAAAAUCAGGGAACUUCCAGAGGGCAUUGGAAAGUGCUAUCACCUUCAAGUGCUAGAUGUGGCUGGAAAUGACCUUCGGAUCUUUCCAACAGAGAUUUCCAGUCUGCCCCUAAAGGAAUUACAUUGUGAAGAAAAUCCCUUACUUCAACAUGUGCCUAUCCAUUCUCUCCAGGAAGAGGAGGUCCUGACACUCAAGGAAAUUGUUGCUCGUUUUGUGUUGAAAGAGAUGCGAGGUGGUCAUACCUGCGGAGGUCAAUCAGACACUACCCUCAGCUGCAAGACAUGUUAGCACAAAGCAGCAAGUGUGCUGUAUGUGGUGAAGCAUUUCUAAACACCUGGCUGGAAUGUGUUCAUUUUGUAGAUACAAAGACGAUGAAGAUCAGAAAUAUGAAUGGCAAAAUUCCAGUGAGAGCACUGCUUUGCUCAUACACAUGCUUCAAUUCAGAGGGUCAUGAGUACUAUGGAGUUGCAUUUCCUUAACACCAACAAGCGUUUCUUGCGAAUUCCACAAAUAAACAAUAAAUCUGUGCAGCAACAUAGAAAUUACACCCAGGUACUAUUAAGAUAUGUAAAAAUAAAUCUGAAAUUUUAUUUCACCAUGAUAAGGUGGUGAUACAAGAGAAAGAAGAUAUACAGUCAAUACUGCAAUUAUGGUACAUGUCCUGCACAGUUGAGUGUAUAUGUGAAGGUGAGUACCUGUACAGGCAUUUUAUACAAUUGUCCCUUUUGACAAAAAAAAAAAAAAACUACAAUGAGCAUUAUUACAACUGAUAGAUUUUCAACUUGAUCAAACUUAUCUUGUAUAUUAUUGUAAUUCCCUUUCUCAUGCAGUUUUAAAAAAAAAUUCAAGUUUAUGUAAAGCAAUAUCAGCAUGCACAGCAAACAGCUAAAUGAAUUACAACCCUGCUCAGUCUCUCAUGCAUAUGCCCAUGUCCUACCUACACACACUCUCUCUCUUGCUUAGAUAGUUAAGUGCUGUGCUAUGCAGUUUCCUCUGCUGUAAUGUUAUAUGUACUAUGUAAUGAUCUUGUAGGGGGUUUGCACCGUGUGCUUUUAUGGACAGAGGGAUAUGCCAGCACUUGUGCUUCUGCCUUUCUUGUGUUUACAAGGCAUAUGUAUGGUCUUUGUAAAGUGAAUGAGGGUGCUGAGCUCUACCUUCUCCAUGAUAAACUGUAGAAAUUGUGAGGCACUAAGUUUACUAACUAUAGCCUCUAUAAGCUAUGAGACUUUAUCUAGACUGGUUGUGUCCCCUCUGUUGAAAUUUUAAAAUGUAACCUAUGCAAAUGAUAUUGUUAAGACUGACUUUUAUGUAUCAUUUGUAGCACCAAGUGUGAUUGCAGUUUUAUGCAUGGUAUAGAGAACAAAAUAUGAUAGAACUUAAAUAUUUUGAUAACUUUUAUUUAAAAUAAAGCAGGAAUUAUUUUUAAUAAAGUGAA